Molecule: ribosomal RNA, 482 nt
Filed under: uncultured bacterium
Lineage: Bacteria
Description: partial 16S ribosomal RNA
Rfam family: Bacterial small subunit ribosomal RNA
Source: RNAcentral
GACGAACGCUGGCGGCGUGCUUAACACAUGCAAGUCGAACGAUGAAGCUGAGCUUGCUCCGGUGGAUUAGUGGCGAACGGGUGAGUAACACGUGAGCAAUCUGCCUUGGACACUGGGAUAACUGCGGGAAACUGUAGCUAAUACCGGAUACGAGGCUUGAAGGCCUCUUCGGGUGUGGAAGGAAUUUCGGUCAAGGAUGAGCUCGCGGCCUAUCAUCUUGUUGGUGAGGUAAUGGCUCACCAAGGCGACGACGGGUAGCCGGCCUGAGAGGGUGACCGGCCACACUGGGACUGAGACACGGCCCAGACUCCUACGGGAGGCAGCAGUGGGGAAUAUUGCACAAUGGGCGAAAGCCUGAUGCAGCAACGCCGCGUGAGGGAUGAAGGCCUUCGGGUUGUAAACCUCUUUUAGCAGGGAAGAAGCGAAAGUGACGGUACCUGCAGAAAAAGCACCGGCUAACUACGUGCCAGCCGCCGCCGUAA